CUACGGGUUGCUCCAGUGGGGAAUCUUAGACAAUGGGCGCAAGCCUGAUCUAGCCAUGCCGCGUGAGUGAUGAAGGCCUUAGGGUCGUAAAGCUCUUUCGCUGGGGAAGAUAAUGACGGUACCCAGUAAAGAAACCCCGGCUAACUCCGUGCCAGCAGCCGCGGUAAUACGGAGGGGGUUAGCGUUGUUCGGAAUUACUGGGCGUAAAGCGCGCGUAGGCGGACUGUUAAGUCGGGGGUGAAAUCCCGGGGCUCAACCCCGGAACGGCCUUCGAUACUGGCAGUCUGGAGUUCGAGAGAGGUGAGUGGAAUUCCGAGUGUAGAGGUGAAAUUCGUAGAUAUUCGGAGGAACACCAGUGGCGAAGGCGGCUCACUGGCUCGAUACUGACGCUGAGGUGCGAAAGUGUGGGGAGCAAACAGGAUUAGAUACCCUGGUAGUC
Molecule: ribosomal RNA, 439 nt
Filed under: uncultured bacterium
Lineage: Bacteria
Description: partial 16S ribosomal RNA
Rfam family: Bacterial small subunit ribosomal RNA
Source: RNAcentral